GUAGGGGCUGGGUUACCUGCUUGGUGUCUGGAAUGAUACAGAGAAGAUUAGCAUGGCCCCUGUGCAAGGAUGACAUGCAAAUUCGUGAAGUGUCUCUCUCUCUC
Gopherus agassizii (Agassiz's desert tortoise) is the source of this 104-nucleotide small nuclear RNA. Lineage: Eukaryota; Metazoa; Chordata; Testudines; Testudinidae. The record is from Ensembl.